Molecule: ribosomal RNA, 416 nt
Filed under: uncultured bacterium
Lineage: Bacteria
Description: bacterial SSU rRNA
Rfam family: Bacterial small subunit ribosomal RNA
Source: RNAcentral
UGGGGAAUAUUGCACAAUGGGGGAAACCCUGAUGCAGCAACGCCGCGUGAAGGAAGACGGUUUUCGGAUUGUAAACUUCUGUUCUUAGUGAAGAAUAGUGACGGUAGCUAAGGAGCAAGCCACGGCUAACUACGUGCCAGCAGCCGCGGUAAUACGUAGGUGGCAAGCGUUGUCCGGAAUUACUGGGUGUAAAGGGAGCGCAGGCGGGAGACCAAGUCAGCUGUGAAAACUACGGGCUUAACCUGUAGACUGCAGUUGAAACUGGUUUUCUUGAGUGAAGUAGAGGUUGGCGGAAUUCCGAGUGUAGCGGUGAAAUGCGUAGAUAUUCGGAGGAACACCGGUGGCGAAGGCGGCCAACUGGGCUUUAACUGACGCUGAGGCUCGAAAGUGUGGGGAGCAAACAGGAUUAGAUACCC